RNAcentral lists this ribosomal RNA (1687 nucleotides) under Channa asiatica (small snakehead). Its description in RNAcentral is "16S ribosomal RNA". It matches the Rfam family "Bacterial large subunit ribosomal RNA". The record is from RNAcentral. Lineage: Eukaryota; Metazoa; Chordata; Actinopteri; Anabantiformes; Channidae.
ACUAAACAGCUAGCCCCACCCCAUAAAAUCAAACCAUCAUCAUAAAUAAACCCUAAAAAACAAUAAACUAAACCCAAUUAAAUCAUUUUUCCACCUAAGUACGGGAGACGGAAAAGGACCCAAAGAGCUAUAGAACAAGUACCGCAAGGGAACGCUGAAAGAGAAAUGAAACAACCCAGUAAAGUAAAAAGAAGCAGAGACUAAAUCUCGUACCUUUUGCAUCAUGAUUUAGCCAGUAAUCCCAAGCAAAGAGCACUUUAGUUUGAUACCCCGAAACUAAGUGAGCUACUCCAAGACAGCCUAUUUUAGGGCCAACCCGUCUCUGUGGCAAAAGAGUGGGAAGAGCUUCGAGUAGAGGUGAUAAACCUACCGAACUUAGUUAUAGCUGGUUGCCUAGAAAUUGAAUUUAAGUUCAGCCUCUCGCCUUCUUCACUCACAUAGUUAAUAAUGCCCUCUGUCACCAAAGAAGACGAAAGAGUUAGUCCAAUGGGGUACAGCCCAUUUGACCUAAGACACAACUUUUAGUGCAGGCUAAAGAUCAAACUACCAAAGGGAAUAUGUCUUAGUGGGCCUAAAAGCAGCCACCUAAGCAGAAAGCGUUAAAGCUCAGACAUACCACAAGCCCCCAAUAAUCCUGAUAAGACACUCUUAAGCCCCACCACAUUACAAGGCUGUUUCAUGCAAACAUGAAAGCACCAAUGCUAAUAUGAGUAAUAAGAGAGCCCCACCCUCUCUCCAAGCACGCACAUAUAUCGGAACGGACUCCCCACCGAAAAUUACCGGCCCCAAACAAAGAGGGUAAUGUACAAUUAACAAAAAACUAGAAACCCAUACAAAAUAGACCGUUAAGCCCACACUGGCGUGCCACUAAGGAAAGACUAAAAGAAAAAGAAGGAACUCGGCAAACACCCAAGGCCUCGCCUGUUUACCAAAAACAUCGCCUCUUGUCUACUAAAAAUAAGAGGUCCUGCCUGCCCAGUGACAUUAAGUUCAACGGCCGCGGUAUUUUGACCGUGCAAAGGUAGCGCAAUCACUUGUCUUUUAAAUGAAGACCCGUAUGAAUGGCACGACGAGGGCCAAACUGUCUCCUUUUUCAGGUCAAUGAAAUUGAUCCCCCCGUGCAGAAGCGGGGAUUAUUACAUAAGACGAGAAGACCCUAUGGAGCUUUAGACACCAGAGCAGCCCUUGUUAAACCACCCUAGACAAAGGAAAAAACCAAACGGGCCCUGCCCUCAUGUCUUUGGUUGGGGCGACCGCGGGGAACACAAAACCCCCAUGUGGAAUGGGAGAACACCUCCUAAAACCAAGAGCUACAGCUCUAAGCAAUAGAAUAUCUAACCAAAAGAUCCGGCAAAGCCGAUCAACGAACCGAGUUACCCUAGGGAUAACAGCGCAAUCCCCUUUUAGAGUCCAUAUCGACAAGGGGGUUUACGACCUCGAUGUUGGAUCAGGACAUCCUAAUGGUGCAGCCGCUAUUAAGGGUUCGUUUGUUCAACGAUUAAAGUCCUACGUGAUCUGAGUUCAGACCGGAGUAAUCCAGGUCAGUUUCUAUCUAUGACAUGUUUUUUUCUAGUACGAAAGGACCGAAAAAAAGAGGCCCAUGCUAUAAGUACGCCUCCCCUUUACCUAGUGAAAACAACUAAAUUAGAUAAAAAGGUAUGCUUCCUCCCGCCGAAUAUAACGGCUU